CCUUCGAUAGCUCAGUUGGUAGAGCGGUGGACUGUAGAAAAAAUAUUAAAAUAAUUGAUAUCCAUAGGUCGCUGGUUCAAAUCCGGCUCGAAGGA
This 95-nucleotide transfer RNA is filed under the name Musca domestica (house fly). It matches the Rfam family "tRNA". Rfam says of the family: Transfer RNA (tRNA) molecules are approximately 80 nucleotides in length. Their secondary structure includes four short double-helical elements and three loops (D, anti-codon, and T loops). Further hydrogen bonds mediate the characteristic L-shaped molecular structure. tRNAs have two regions of fundamental functional importance: the anti-codon, which is responsible for specific mRNA codon recognition, and the 3' end, to which the tRNAs corresponding amino acid is attached (by aminoacyl-tRNA synthetases). tRNAs cope with the degeneracy of the genetic code in two manners: having more than one tRNA (with a specific anti-codon) for a particular amino acid; and 'wobble' base-pairing, i.e. permitting non-standard base-pairing at the 3rd anti-codon position. The record is from Rfam by way of RNAcentral. Lineage: Eukaryota; Metazoa; Arthropoda; Insecta; Diptera; Muscidae.